Molecule: long non-coding RNA, 3858 nt
Filed under: Camelus dromedarius (Arabian camel)
Lineage: Eukaryota; Metazoa; Chordata; Mammalia; Artiodactyla; Camelidae
Description: lncRNA (ENSCDRG00005018820.1)
Source: RNAcentral
UUAUGAGACGAGCCCCCAUCCCAUGGUGCUUUCUCAUUUCAGAGGCACCAGCCGUCCCGGCCAGACAAGAUCCGCGCAGAGGCCAGGCUGGAGCACGUCCUCACGGCCUCCUGCGCCACGCAGAGCUUCCGGGGAGACGUGGAGACUGACUACACUCGCUGGCUGCGCCAUUCCCUGCAGCUGGGGCUCUGCCGCCUCCCCAGGGCCCUCUUGGUCUCUGGGGAGCACACCCUGGGUGGCGGUAGGCUCCUGCUACACUCCAAAUGCCAGCUGGGCCUUGCCCCAGACCCAGACCACAGCCUGCACCUCAGCCUGACCCUCCGCAACCACAGCAGGCCCCGAAUGCCUGACUUCUCUGGGGAAUUAGAGCUCCGUGGCCCCAAGGCUCAGAGGCUUGGUCUGCUGGGCCGGGUGUCCACCUCGGCUUCCCAAAGGUUGAUCCAGCUGGAGGGAAAUGUGGACAAUGGGGACGAGAAAGUGAGGCUGUCGGUGUCCCAGGCCCCGAACUGCCUCCAGGCCUCAGUGGCCCAAGAGCAAGGGAGCCAAGAGGAGAGCGUGGUGCUGCGGGCCUGUGCCCACCGGUGGACGGCUGAGGUAGAGGCCCUGCUCCAGGACAGUGGGCGGCCUGUCCAGCCCCUGGGGCGCUUGACCCUGCAGGCUGCCAACCAGAGCCUCCGCUUGGCCGCACUCGGCUGCCAGGGGACCCUGCUGGGCCACAUGGAGUCCCGGAUUGCUGCUCUCGGGUCCCAGGUGCAAGCUCGGCUGGAGGAGAAGAUCCGCAACUUGGACGCCUACGUGAGAAGGUUCCAGCGCCUGAUGCAGCCGACAGGCACCCUGGACAGUGCAGCAGGCCCCCUUCCGUGGCUGUCCCGGGAGGGCCUGGGGGCCGUGUGGGGGAGUGGCCGGGCGGUGGCCACACUGUGGGGCCAGAGCCAGGCCAGGCAGACGCUGAUACAACGUGUGCCGCUCUACCUGGAGAGGCUGCAGGAGGGGCUGGAGCAGCUGCGGAAUGAGCUGGAACGGCCCCUGGCCACGCUGAAGGACGCUUACUUGGAGGUGACACUGCGGCCCUUGGACGAGGUGUGGCGGGAGCGGGCCGAGGAGGCCAUGCAGUGGCUGCAGGCCUGGGUGUCCCGGAUGCCGGGGCCCUGGGUGUCCAGGCCCAUCGGGGCAGCACUAGAGUCCGUGAGGGGCGCCCUGGAGCUGGCCGCUGAGCAGAUGCUGUCUUGGAUGGAAGCUGUGAUCUCACAGGCACUGAGGAGGCUCUGCAAACCCUUGCUGGACCUGUACCGCUUCUCGGCCAGGGACCGCUCAGUGGUGGUGACGCUGCCGCUGCUGCCUGUGGGAGACGAGCCCCUGGAUGUGGCCCGCGUGACCAGCCACCUGGUGGAGGAGAAGCUGCUGCGGCCGCUCCGAGAGCUGUACAGGACCAGCAUGCUGGCUGGGUACCACCGGCUCAGACGCCACCUGCAGGGGAGCCCCUCUGGAUACCAUGCUGUGGUGGCUGGGGCCAGGCACGUGGUGACCUUUGACGGCCGGGUGUGGGGUCUCAGCACCCACUGUGGCAGCCUGCUGCUGGCCAGGGACUUCGCUCACGACACGUUCUCACUGACGCUGAGCCGGGCAGGCUCAGGGCUCACGUCCCUGACUGUAGCGCUGAACCGCAGCACCCUGGUCUUCUACCCCAGCCUGAAGACCUACAGGCUGUACAACAACUCCCUGCCUGGGGAGAGCUGUCUGGACCUGGUUUUGCCUCCGCCUCCUGCCAAGACCAGGAUCGAGCUGACCAGUGAGGACGGCGUCUCCAUCGCCUGUGACGUCCAAGCCGGCCUCUGCAGCCUGACUCUGGGCGUCUGGCAGCACGGCCUGUCCGCCGGCUUCCUGGGCACCAAUGACAAUGAGGCAGACAAUGAGCUGAUGCUGCCAGACGGCUCGGUGGCCAACAGCCUGGAGGAGUUCACGCUUGCCUGGCAGGUGGACCCCACACCCUUCCUCAACCUGUGCCUCCAGGACACCUGUGGCACCCAAGAGCUCCAAACUGCCUGCACCCUGGCGGCCACCUACAUUCACCUGUGUGCCCGGGGAUUCGUGCCCAUGGACCCUCCUCCACAGUGUGUUUGAGAUUUUGCCUGAGCCAGCACCAGGCUGCCAAGGAUUUCAGACUCACCUACCACAAACCCGUUCCAUCACCAAGGUCACAGUUCUUGUCUGGGGCAGAAUGACCAGCAUAAAAAAACAGGAAGCUCAGAGAAGAUCAGGAAAAAUACAGAUCCAGGAAAGAAGAGCCAUUAGUCAAUGAUUUCAAAAUGCUUUCUGGGAGCAGUAAAGCCCACACUGGUCUGGAUAAUUCUCCACCUUCCUCAGCACCUGCACUGUGGUCUAGGAGACAGCCCAACCCGCAGGACCCACCUCUGGAGGGAGAGAGCCAUGCCAGCAACUCUUCCUGUCCAAGAUGUUUAUUCACUCAUUCAGCUGCUGUCUCCAAAGCCUUUGCUGUAUGAGCCAGACUGCCCCAGGGUCUUUCUAGACCAGGACUGGCUUCCCCUGCCCUCUGCACAGGUCUCCCCUAAGGCCUGAGGCUCCUUGAGGGAAUUGAUGGUCCCAAAUCCCUUAAUCCCAAGGCUGGUUGGGUGCUUCCCUCUUUGGGUUAGAUCCUGACUCUCGGUCUCAUUGUUUCAGGGGGCACUUGAGAAGGGCCAGUGGAUGCUAUGGGCACCUGGGCACUCAGACCCCAAGUAUGCAGCCUUCAAAGCUGUUCACUUNNNNNNNNNNNNNNNGGGGAGGCUUUACCCUUGAGUUUUCAACUGAAAAAUAAAGCUGGCAGAAUCCAAGAAGGCAUCCAUUAGAUUGCUGGGGUCAGCCAUCCACUGGCGAGAUGCGGGGUGGGCCUUGAGUGGCUGUGAAACCUCCUGCCAGUAGGGGGCCCCCAGAGCCCUCUCGAAACUGAGUUCUAGUGUCCAGAUUCCAGAGUGACAGGUGAAGAAGUGUCAGCCUCGAGGAGUGGGGUGACCAGAAGGCCAGACGCGAGGCUCGGCUGUCCCUGGCCUCCCUGACCCACAGCAGGUGCUCAGUGAAGAUGAGAAGAAGGAACUCUAGAGACUCUUAGCGUUUUCCGGAGUGAAUGGGAAUGGGGAAGCCAGAACUGCCCGUUCCCAUACUCCGGAAGGAAGAGAGGGGGAAGGGGUGCCAUGACUGAGCUUGCACCGUGUUGCCAUGGCUACAACCAAAAGACCCCAGAGUCCAAGCACUGCUCUUUGAAAGAUGUUUGCUCUCUUCUCAGACCUUAUUAAUAACCUGAUGAGGGGUGGAUGAUCCCGUGUAAUGGAAGAAGCAGCAGGCUCAGGGAGCCCAGGGGGCUUACCCAAGGUCACACAGCUAGCAGACGGCCAGGCUGGCAUGAUCUGGGCCUGUCUGCCCCCAAGGCUGCCCAGCCUCCACCUUCCCUCUUCUGCUUUCACAUUAGCCUUGUGCCGCACACAGGUGCACCUCAUUUUACAGCACUUUGCAGAUACAGCGGGUUUUUUAACAGAUCAAAGGCAUGUGGCAACCCUGCAUCAAGGAACUCCAUCAGUACCUUUUCUAAGAGCACUGCUUGCUUCAUGUCUCUGUGUCACAUUUUGGUAAUUCUCAAAAUAUUUCAGACUUUUUCACUGUUAUUAUAUGUAUUAUGGUGACCUGUGAGCUUUGAUGUUACUAUGACAGCUAGUUAGCAUUUUUUAGCAAUAAAGUACUUAAUUGAGGGAUGCACAUUGUUUGUUUAGACACAAUGCUAUUGCACACUUAAUAGACUACUGUAUAGUAUAAACGUAGCUUUUAUACGUAGUAGGAAGCCAAAAACUUUGUGUGACUCUCUUGCGG